UCUCUCUUUCUCUCGAUUUGUUGCUCUGUUUUUUUGGGCCUUGCGGGUCAGACUGUGGUUGGGCUCUUUAUGGCUUUAGUCAGUCGUCUGCUCCACUUUAUGCUCAAUUCACAGUUAGUUACUUUCUUAUUUUUUUAUAGAUAAUUUCAAUUAGUUACUUUCAUUUCUAUUUUUUUUUUCAUUUUUUAGCAAAUUACUUUUAGUAAUUUUUUUUUACCGGUAGACUGCUUUGACCUUAUUGAAUUUCCUCGUGGGGACCACUUGUCUUCAUGACUCUGUCCGAAGAAUCUGGACCGUAGAUGCUUUUGAUCCGAAAAUCAGGAAUUAAUUUUAUUCUGUGCGCAUGUUGGUUCCUACUUUUUGAAUAUGCGUCGUUCAUCCAUGUGAACACCUAUCAAAAGUGGCUGGGGAUCCCAGUCGCAGAUACUCUGUCCCAGCCUUUGUCCCACUCCCGAAUGGACGAUACCAGUCCAAAUGUAAUUUAUAGAGAUUUUGUAAUUAGAUAAAUUAUAUUUGGAUAAUUGUCAUUUAGUGGGGUGGGACAGGGGUGGCACAGAUUAUUUGGGACAGGAGAUCCGGACUCAUCAAAAGUCUCCAUUCCGUACCGCCUCUCACCCCAAAUUCACGGCCCGCGUUUCACGCUAUCACGAACGCACUUUUCAAGUUUCACCGGACCCUGUUUGGUUAUGAGAAGUUGAACCAAACGCCCACGAAACAAACUAACCAUUUUGUUGGAUUUAAUUACGCAGUGUGC
Molecule: long non-coding RNA, 754 nt
Filed under: Actinidia chinensis (golden kiwifruit)
Lineage: Eukaryota; Viridiplantae; Streptophyta; Magnoliopsida; Ericales; Actinidiaceae
Description: long non-coding RNA (ACHI_LNC006060)
Source: RNAcentral